CCCUCGCGUCCCGCCCCUCCCGUAGGCCGACCCUCUCCUCGCCCUUGGCCCCGCCUUAGACUCCGCCCCCAGGCUCCGCCCCGUCCCCCGCGGGCCAGCGAGGAUCCUCCACAGACUUGCGGCUGCGCGGAGCGGUGUGACCCAGCGGGGUUGGCGACGUCUGCACGCCGGUGCUGGGCAGGCCUCUCCUUCUCGCUCUUGAUAGCGCUUCUGUGGGUUCUCAUUCUGGGUAAGAAUGGAGUAAGUACACUCCAUCCUGCCUCUCCCACUGACUGUAAUCAUAAAACCUGGGCAGACCGCAUAGAGCACCCAUAGGAAGACUGAAAAGUAAACAGUAGCAGGUUGAAUGAAAAGAGGACUUAAAGUGCCAAUGAACUGGAGGUGGGUCAGAGAGAUGAGACAGAAGACAAAGAGGACAGAUUUGAAGCAUGAAAGGGACUCAACCCAAAGUUGUGGCCUUUGGAGAUGGAGGAAGGAAGCCUCAAGUCAUGGAAUGCAGCAGUGCCCGGUGGGAGCUGGGAAUGAUGCUCAGCUGACAACCAGCAAGAAGGCAGGACACUCAGUCAUAGACCUCAAGGAACUAAAUUCUGUCAACAAGCUGAGUGAGCAGAAAAUGCAUUCCCCCCUCCAGCCUCUGCAGAGGGACAGGUUGUGUCCUGUUAUGUUUGGCCUGGUGAGAGCUGUUCAGGACCUCUGACCUCCAGAAGUAAGAUUAUAAAUCUGUGUUGUUUUAAGCCACUAACCUUGUGGUAAUUCAUUAUGGUAAUUCAAUGGAAAACCAUAGAGCAAUAUUUAGGGGUUCAUCCUUUGCACGGAUUCCUCCCUGGAUUACUCCUCUAACUUUCCAAUUCUACUGGCCUCAAACUCUUUUUGUCCCCGCCCAGUCAGUAGGCUGUAGCUCUCUGCAGUUGGAGCAGCCCCUGUCUUGGGGGCCUGCCCUCGGGUAAAAAGCUGCCAACUCACAAAUCUCAACAAUUUCUGUUCAUCUUUCAAGGUUGCUCUCCUAUUCAGUUUCUGCUUUCUUUUGGUCAUUCUCCAAGGCCUUCAAAUGCUGCUUUUAAAAGUUUUGCUCAACUUUUAUCAUCGUCAUCUGCAGGAAGAUUAGUCCACCAUUACCAAAAGCUGGGACCUCACUAUACU
Molecule: long non-coding RNA, 1140 nt
Organism: Ailuropoda melanoleuca (giant panda)
Lineage: Eukaryota; Metazoa; Chordata; Mammalia; Carnivora; Ursidae
Exons: 3
Source: RefSeq, a predicted model, not a curated record